RNAcentral lists this ribosomal RNA (440 nucleotides) under uncultured bacterium. Its description in RNAcentral is "partial 16S ribosomal RNA". It matches the Rfam family "Bacterial small subunit ribosomal RNA", at positions 338 to 795 of the family's 1533-position model. The record is from RNAcentral.
CCUACGGGAGGCAGCAGUGGGGAAUAUUGUACAAUGGGGGAAACCCUGACCCAGCGACGCCGCGUGAGUGAAGAAGUAUUUCGGAACGUAAAGCUCUAUCAGCAGGAAAGAAAAUGACGGUACCUGACUCAGAAGCCGCGGCUAACUACGUACCAGCAGCCGCGGUAAUACGUAGGGGGCAAGCGAUAGCCGGAUUUACUGGGUGUAAAGGGAGCGUAGGCGGCAGCGCAAGUCUGGAGUGAAAUGCCGGGGCCCAACUCCGGAACUGCUCUGGAUCCUGUGAAGCUAGAGUGCAGGAGAGGUAAGCGGAAUUGCUGGUGUAGCGGUGAAAUGCAUAGAUAUCAGGAGGAACACCGGCGGCGAAGGCAGCUUACUGGACUGUAACUGACGUUGAGGCUCGAAGGCGUGGGGAGCAAACAGGAUUAGAUACCCCAGUAGUC